GAAAAUGUGUUACAACUACUUGGUGCUUUCUCUUGUAUUGCACAAUGGAGUGCUGAUCUACUUCUGCAGCUUUGACUUGGAAUAUUUCUGUAAAGUAGGACACUUCCUAAAGGGAGAUACUGAUAAGUUUGUCAUCUCUGGCCUUUUCAACAAGCAAUGAAUGGUCAAGCAACAAUACAGCUCAUAGUUUCCCAGCACUAAUCUGGAACUACAUCGUAAAUUAUAAACAAAAUCCAGACGUCAAGGAAGAAUGGAAAUAGUUUUGGAUUUAUUGACAACAUCUAACCAAACCCACUGGGAGAGUCUUCAGAGAGUAUCCACAUCCUUGCCAUCUGUCUUCAGCAGCAUUGUGCCUCUGGGAAGCAAAGACUGGAUCUGCUUACUCUGUCCCAAACAACAACAGUAUCAGCUGAGAGGAUAAAGACAAGUUGCACACACUAAGAAGAUGUUAGCAUUUUAAUCUCACAGAUUAGUUUAGGCUCUUAAGAUCAUUUAAAAUGCAAUUGCACAGAGUACUGGCAGAACCGCUGAGGAGCAAUUGGUACAUCUGUACUUUUUUCUGUCUUAGGUUUAAGUGCCUAGCAUUGAAAUUGGUAGCUUGAAUACUUUUGAAUUCAGAAGCUAAGACAAUGUCACAGAUAAACUUUCUAUGCAAUAAAUGUCAGCUUCAUCAGUCUUCUUAGAAGUGAUAUGAUUAACUUCUGACAGCAUUUUGAGAACAUGUGCAGUUCUUUAUUUGGAUGUACGGUUGAAGCAGUGAUAAAUUC
This is a long non-coding RNA of Gallus gallus (chicken), 767 nucleotides long. The record is from Ensembl. NCBI's taxonomy places the organism in Eukaryota, Metazoa, Chordata, Aves, Galliformes, Phasianidae.